Molecule: ribosomal RNA, 253 nt
Filed under: uncultured bacterium
Lineage: Bacteria
Description: partial 16S ribosomal RNA
Rfam family: Bacterial small subunit ribosomal RNA
Source: RNAcentral
UACGUAGGGCGCAAGCGUUAUCCGGAAUUAUUGGGCGUAAAGAGCGUGUAGGCGGUUAGGUAGGUCCGUUGUGAAAACUCGAGGCUCAACCUCGAGACGCCGAUGGAAACCAUCUGACUAGAGUCCGGAAGAGGAGAGUGGAAUUCCUGGUGUAGCGGUGAAAUGCGCAGAUAUCAGGAAGAACACCCGUGGCUAAGGCGGCUCUCUAGUACGGUACUGACGCUGAGACGCGAAAGCGUGGGGAGCGAACAGG